GAGGCCGCACAGCCAAUGAGAGGCGCCGCCGCACUGCGGAGGCUUGAAGGCGCGAAGCGGCGCGCGACGGCCCCCGGCCGUUGGGGGUGGGGCCGCGCUGUGAGGGAGCCCAACGGUCAUCGCCGUCCCUUCAGCGUCCGCCCCGCUGCCGCCCGCUCCUCCGGUACCCAAGCGGCGGCUCAGAGUGAAUUUCGAGGUGCUUUUCUCUCCCCCCAGUGCCUAUGGGUGAACCUCAGCCCGGGCGUUGAGCUUUUUCUGUGAGAACAACCGGCCAGUACCUGUCACUGUUGGGCGGGCAGCCGCACCGAGGGGCUCUGAGGUGGCACGGGAGUCACUUAUAUACAGGCUUCUUUUUUUUGGUCACAAGACCGCUAGGACUGAAGAACACAGCCGAACAUUGGGAAACAGUAUCACCCUCCAGUCCUUCAAAGACAGAUUUGGCAAGUCGUCAGGCAUCCUAGCAGGAGGACCCAAGCUUAAAUUUUGAAAGUAACUACUAUGGAUAAACCUGCAUGGGAUGUUGACCUGAAGGAGUCCUAAAAUGGUGAGGCUUCUUUUCCUACUUUUAUAACAAGGAGUAUCAGAAAUAGCUUGAUUAACAGAGUUUUAAACGUAUUACCCAGGACUACAUAACCAAUUCUUCACAGAAGGUAAGUACUUAAUUGAGUAGCACUACCAAUUAUGAGACUAUUAUGAUUAGGAUUUUAAGGAAAUGUGGUUAAAAAAAAAAAGAUACUGAGGCCUCUUCAUCCAAUAAAGUUGUCAUUUGGGAUAACUAUACUGCCAAAUAAAAAAACUAAACUAAUCUUGGCAUUGUCAAAAAUGUUUUCUAACACAUCUUCUCCACAUUCAGAAAGCCUUUAAAAAUUAUUUGGAAGCAAUUAGAUCAAGAAAGAACCAACAAACUCACACACCAAUUUAUAACAACUUUUAUAGUUUAUAGAAAAGAAGUACCCAAACACAUUUCCAAUUGUUAUGCUGCGAUACAUUUGAAGAACUAGAAUAGUUUGAAAAUAAAACUGUAUGUUAAUGAUCACCAAGUUUCUUGAGGUUAAAUUGCUGACAAACCAGUAAAUUUAGAAAACCAGUGGCAGAAGGGUAGUUUAAA
This is a long non-coding RNA of Oxyura jamaicensis (ruddy duck), 1108 nucleotides long. RefSeq lists it as uncharacterized. The transcript is spliced from 3 exons. The record is from RefSeq and is a predicted model, not a curated record. Lineage: Eukaryota; Metazoa; Chordata; Aves; Anseriformes; Anatidae.